AGAGUUUGAUCCUGGCUCAGGAUGAACGCUAGCGGCAGGCCUAAUACAUGCAAGCCGAACGGCAAGUUGAGUAGCAAUACUUGACCUAGAGUGGCGUAAGGGUGCGUAACACGUAUGCAAUCUGCCCACAACAGGAGGAUAGCUCCCCGAAAGGGGAAUUAACCCUCCAUAGGAUCACGGUCAGGCAUCUGAGAGUGAUUAAACCAAAAGGGGUUGUGGAUGAGCAUGCGGUUGAUUAGCUAGUUGGCGGGGUAACGGCCCACCAAGGCGAUGAUCAAUAGGGGAACUGAGAGGUUUAUCCCCCACACUGGCACUGAGAUACGGGCCAGACUCCUACGGGAGGCAGCAGUAGGGAAUAUUGGACAAUGGGCGAGAGCCUGAUCCAGCCAUGCCGCGUGCAGGAAGAAGGCCUUCUGGGUUGUAAACUGCUUUUGCCAGGGGAUAAAAGACCCGUGCGCGGGGAAUUGAAGGUACCUGGUGAAUAAGCCACGGCUAACUACGUGCCAGCAGCCGCGGUAAUACGUAGGUGGCAAGCGUUGUCCGGAUUUAUUGGGUUUAAAGGGUGCGUAGGCGGUUCCAUAAGUCAGUGGUGAAAUACGGCAGCUCAACUGUCGAGGUGCCAUUGAUACUGUGGAACUUGAGUACAGACGAGGUAGGCGGAAUUGACGGUGUAGCGGUGAAAUGCUUAGAUAUCGUCAAGAACACCGAUAGCGAAGGCAGCUUACUAGACUGUAACUGACGCUGAGGCACGAAAGUGUGGGGAUCAAACAGGAUUAGAUACCCUAGUAGUCC
This 792-nucleotide ribosomal RNA is filed under the name uncultured bacterium. RNAcentral describes it as "bacterial SSU rRNA". It matches the Rfam family "Bacterial small subunit ribosomal RNA", at positions 8 to 796 of the family's 1533-position model. The record is from RNAcentral.